CAACAUCAAUAUAUCUGGUCACUGAAGGUACAGGGAGUCAACAUCAAUAUAUCUGGUCACUGAAGGUACAGGGAGUCAAUAUAUCUGGUCACUGAAGGUACAGGGAGUCAAUAUAUCUGGUCACUGAAGGUACAGGGAGUCAACAUCAAUAUAUCUGGUCACUGAAGGUACAGGGAGUCAACAUCAAUAUAUCUGGUCACUGAAGGUACAGGGAGUCAACAUCAAUAUAUCUGGUCACUGAAGAUACAGGGAGUCAACAUCAAUAUAUCUGGUCACUGAAGGUACAGGGAGUCAACAUCAAUAUAUCUGGUCACUGAAGGUACAGGGAGUCAACAUCAAUAUAUCUGGUCACUGAAGGUGCAGGGAGUCAACAUCAAUAUAUCUGGUCAGAUGUUGCUUAACAGAUAUUUAUACUGAUGUUUUUUCCUGUGUGUGUUGUAACAGACCUCCUUCCCGUGCUAAAGAAGCGUGUGUGUGUGUGUGUGUGUGUGUUGUAACAGACCUCCUUCCCGUGCUAAAGAAGUGUGUGUGUGUGUGUGUGUGUGUGUUGUAACAGACCUCCUUCCCGUGCUAAAGAAGCGUGUGUGUGUGUGUUGUAACAG
This 602-nucleotide long non-coding RNA is filed under the name Salmo salar (Atlantic salmon). Its description in RNAcentral is "lncRNA (ENSSSAG00000086714.1)". The record is from RNAcentral. Lineage: Eukaryota; Metazoa; Chordata; Actinopteri; Salmoniformes; Salmonidae.